GGCGGAGUAGCUCAGUUGGUAGAGCAGCGGGAUCAUAAUCCGCGUGUCGGGGGUUCAAUUCCCUCCUCCGCUACCA
RNAcentral lists this transfer RNA (76 nucleotides) under Alphaproteobacteria bacterium. Its description in RNAcentral is "tRNA-Met". It matches the Rfam family "tRNA". Rfam says of the family: Transfer RNA (tRNA) molecules are approximately 80 nucleotides in length. Their secondary structure includes four short double-helical elements and three loops (D, anti-codon, and T loops). The record is from RNAcentral. Lineage: Bacteria; Pseudomonadati; Pseudomonadota; Alphaproteobacteria. RNAcentral also lists the same sequence under 2 other names.